RNAcentral lists this ribosomal RNA (980 nucleotides) under Salmonella enterica. RNAcentral's name for it is "bacterial SSU rRNA". It matches the Rfam family "Bacterial small subunit ribosomal RNA", at positions 1 to 970 of the family's 1533-position model. Lineage: Bacteria; Pseudomonadati; Pseudomonadota; Gammaproteobacteria; Enterobacterales; Enterobacteriaceae. The record is from RNAcentral.
AAAUUGAAGAGUUUGAUCAUGGCUCAGAUUGAACGCUGGCGGCAGGCCUAACACAUGCAAGUCGAACGGUAACAGGAAGCAGCUUGCUGCUUUGCUGACGAGUGGCGGACGGGUGAGUAAUGUCUGGGAAACUGCCUGAUGGAGGGGGAUAACUACUGGAAACGGUGGCUAAUACCGCAUAACGUCGCAAGACCAAAGAGGGGGACCUUCGGGCCUCUUGCCAUCAGAUGUGCCCAGAUGGGAUUAGCUAGUUGGUGAGGUAACGGCUCACCAAGGCGACGAUCCCUAGCUGGUCUGAGAGGAUGACCAGCCACACUGGAACUGAGACACGGUCCAGACUCCUACGGGAGGCAGCAGUGGGGAAUAUUGCACAAUGGGCGCAAGCCUGAUGCAGCCAUGCCGCGUGUAUGAAGAAGGCCUUCGGGUUGUAAAGUACUUUCAGCGGGGAGGAAGGCGUUGUGGUUAAUAACCGCAGCGAUUGACGUUACCCGCAGAAGAAGCACCGGCUAACUCCGUGCCAGCAGCCGCGGUAAUACGGAGGGUGCAAGCGUUAAUCGGAAUUACUGGGCGUAAAGCGCACGCAGGCGGUCUGUCAAGUCGGAUGUGAAAUCCCCGGGCUCAACCUGGGAACUGCAUUCGAAACUGGCAGGCUUGAGUCUUGUAGAGGGGGGUAGAAUUCCAGGUGUAGCGGUGAAAUGCGUAGAGAUCUGGAGGAAUACCGGUGGCGAAGGCGGCCCCCUGGACAAAGACUGACGCUCAGGUGCGAAAGCGUGGGGAGCAAACAGGAUUAGAUACCCUGGUAGUCCACGCCGUAAACGAUGUCUACUUGGAGGUUGUGCCCUUGAGGCGUGGCUUCCGGAGCUAACGCGUUAAGUAGACCGCCUGGGGAGUACGGCCGCAAGGUUAAAACUCAAAUGAAUUGACGGGGGCCCGCACAAGCGGUGGAGCAUGUGGUUUAAUUCGAUGCAACGCGAAGAACC